Molecule: ribosomal RNA, 469 nt
Filed under: uncultured bacterium
Lineage: Bacteria
Description: partial 16S ribosomal RNA
Rfam family: Bacterial small subunit ribosomal RNA
Source: RNAcentral
GACGAACGCUGGCGGCGUGCUUAACGCAUGCAAGUCGAACGGAAAGGCCCUGCUUGCAGGGUGCGCGAGUGUCGAACGGGUGAGUAACACGUGGGUGAUCUGCCCCUUAUUUUUGGAUAAGCCUUGGAAACUGGGUCUAAUACUCGAGAUGACCAUGCUGUAUGUGGUGUGGUGGAAGGAUUAUUUUCGGUAAGGGAUGAGCUCGCGGCCUAUCAGCUUGUUGGUGGGGUAAUGGCCUACCAAGGCGUCGACGGGUAGCCGGCCUGAGAGGGUGGACGGCCACAUUGGGACUGAGAUACGGCCCAGACUCCUACGGGAGGCAGCAGUGGGGAAUAUUGCACAAUGGGCGCAAGCCUGAUGCAGCGACGCCGCGUGGGGGAUGACGGCCUUCGGGUUGUAAACUCCUUUCAGCCAUGACGAAGCCCUUGUGGUGACGGUAGUGGUAGAAGAAGCACCGGCUAACUACGUG